UUUUUUUUUUUUUUUUUUUUUUUUUUCUGUUUUUUUGUCUCUAUGAGCUGCGCAUGCUUACACAUGCAAGUCGAACGGCAGCACGGGUGCUUGCACCUGGUGGCGAGUGGCGAACGGGUGAGUAAUACAUCGGAACAUGUCCUGUAGUGGGGGAUAGCCCGGCGAAAGCCGGAUUAAUACCGCAUACGAUCUACGGAUGAAAGCGGGGGACCUUCGGGCCUCGCGCUAUAGGGUUGGCCGAUGGCUGAUUAGCUAGUUGGUGGGGUAAAGGCCUACCAAGGCGACGAUCAGUAGCUGGUCUGAGAGGACGACCAGCCACACUGGGACUGAGACACGGCCCAGACUCCUACGGGAGGCAGCAGUGGGGAAUUUUGGACAAUGGGCGAAAGCCUGAUCCAGCAAUGCCGCGUGUGUGAAGAAGGCCUUCGGGUUGUAAAGCACUUUUGUCCGGAAAGAAAUCCUUGGCUCUAAUACAGUCGGGGGAUGACGGUACCGGAAGAAUAAGCACCGGCUAACUACGUGCCAGCAGCCGCGGUAAUACGUAGGGUGCGAGCGUUAAUCGGAAUUACUGGGCGUAAAGCGUGCGCAGGCGGUUUGCUAAGACCGAUGUGAAAUCCCCGGGCUCAACCUGGGAACUGCAUUGGUGACUGGCAGGCUAGAGUAUGGCAGAGGGGGGUAGAAUUCCACGUGUAGCAGUGAAAUGCGUAGAGAUGUGGAGGAAUACCGAUGGCGAAGGCAGCCCCCUGGGCCAAUACUGACGCUCAUGCACGAAAGCGUGGGGAGCAAACAGGAUUAGAUACCCUGGUAGUCCACGCCCUAAACGAUGUCAACUAGUUGUUGGGGAUUCAUUUCCUUAGUAACGUAGCUAACGCGUGAAGUUGACCGCCUGGGGAGUACGGUCGCAAGAUUAAAACUCAAAGGAAUUGACGGGGACCCGCACAAGCGGUGGAUGAUGUGGAUUAAUUCGAUGCAACGCGAAAAACCUUACCUACCCUUGACAUGGUCGGAAUCCCGCUGAGAGGUGGGAGUGCUCGAAAGAGAACCGGCGCACAGGUGCUGCAUGGCUGUCGUCAGCUCGUGUCGUGAGAUGUUGGGUUAAGUCCCGCAACGAGCGCAACCCUUGUCCUUAGUUGCUACGCAAGAGCACUCUAAGGAGACUGCCGGUGACAAACCGGAGGAAGGUGGGGAUGACGUCAAGUCCUCAUGGCCCUUAUGGGUAGGGCUUCACACGUCAUACAAUGGUCGGAACAGAGGGUUGCCAACCCGCGAGGGGGAGCUAAUCCCAGAAAACCGAUCGUAGUCCGGAUUGCACUCUGCAACUCGAGUGCAUGAAGCUGGAAUCGCUAGUAAUCGCGGAUCAGCAUGCGCGGGGGGAGAAACCUUCCCCGGGUUCUUGUACACACCGCCCGUCACACCAUGGGAAGUGGGUUUUACCAGAAGUGGCUAGUCUAACCGCAAGGAGGACGGUCACCACGGUAGGAUUCUGACUGGGUGAGCAAAAA
Molecule: ribosomal RNA, 1502 nt
Filed under: Burkholderia sp.
Lineage: Bacteria; Pseudomonadati; Pseudomonadota; Betaproteobacteria; Burkholderiales; Burkholderiaceae
Description: bacterial SSU rRNA
Rfam family: Bacterial small subunit ribosomal RNA
Source: RNAcentral